AGCAGGAUGUGGGCGGGGCCAAAUAAGAGACUAAAAGCUGGCCACGCAGCAACCCGCUGGGGUCCUUUCCUGUGGUGUGGAAACGUUUUUUCGCUCUUCACAGUAAGUCUUGCUGCUGCUCACUCUUUGGGGCCACAGUACCUUUAUGAGCUAUAACACCGCGAAGGUCUGCAGCUUCAUUCCUGAGGCCAGCGAGACCGUCAACCCACUGGGAGGAAUGAACAACUUUGGAUGCACCACCUUUAAGAACUGUAACACUCGCUGCAAAGGUCUGUGGCCUCACUUCUGAAGUCAGCAAGACCACGAACCCACCAGAAGGAAGAAAUUCCAGACACAUCUGAACAUCUGAAGGAACAAACUUCGGACAGACCAUCUUUAAGAACUGUAACACUCACUGAGAGGGUCCGCAGCUCCAUUUUGAAGUCAGCGAGACCAAGAAUCCACCGGAAGGAACCAAUUCUGGACACAGUACCUGAUAGUUCUGGAAGCUGGACAUUUGAGACAAAGGUGCAGCAGGGUUGGCUCCUUACAAGGACUAUGAAGGGGAAAUUCAUGCCUCUCUCCUAGAUUCGUUGGCUUCUUCUGCAUCAUUCCAAUCUCUGCCUUCCUCUUCACAGGGUGUUCUUCCAGUUUGGAUGUGAUAGGAACCCCUACCUACAAAGUCAUGAAAUGCCUUCCUGAAUCACCUCCCCAACCUCCUAGUGAUGGAAUAGCAACUAUUUCUUUGCUGGGAACACAACAGUUCAUAUACC
Molecule: long non-coding RNA, 752 nt
Organism: Gorilla gorilla gorilla (western lowland gorilla)
Lineage: Eukaryota; Metazoa; Chordata; Mammalia; Primates; Hominidae
Exons: 3
Source: RefSeq, a predicted model, not a curated record